Molecule: ribosomal RNA, 1034 nt
Filed under: Aggregatibacter segnis
Lineage: Bacteria; Pseudomonadati; Pseudomonadota; Gammaproteobacteria; Pasteurellales; Pasteurellaceae
Description: bacterial SSU rRNA
Rfam family: Bacterial small subunit ribosomal RNA
Source: RNAcentral
AUUGAACGCUGGCGGCAGGCUUAACACAUGCAAGUCGAACGGUAACAGGAGAAAGCUUGCUUUCUUGCUGACGAGUGGCGGACGGGUGAGUAAUGCUUGGGAAUCUGGCUUAUGGAGGGGGAUAACGACGGGAAACUGUCGCUAAUACCGCGUAGGAUCGAGAGAUGAAAGUGCGGGACCGCAAGGCCGCAUGCCAUAGGAUGAGCCCAAGUGGGAUUAGGUAGUUGGUGGGGUAAUGGCCUACCAAGCCGACGACCUCUAGCUGGUUGAGAGGAUGACCAGCCACCCGGGACUGAGACACGGCCCGGACUCCUACGGGAGGCAGCAGUGGGGAAUAUUGCGCAAUGGGGGCAACCCUGACGCAGCCAUGCCGCGUGAAUGAAGAAGGCCUUCGGGUUGUAAAGUUCUUUCGGUGACGAGGAAGGCGUGAUGUUUAAUAGGCAUCACGAUUGACGUUAAUCACAGAAGAAGCACCGGCUAACUCCGUGCCAGCAGCCGCGGUAAUACGGAGGGUGCGAGCGUUAAUCGGAAUAACUGGGCGUAAAGGGCACGCAGGCGGCUAUUUAAGUGAGGUGUGAAAUCCCCGGGCUUAACCUGGGAAUUGCAUUUCAGACUGGGUAGCUAGAGUACUUUAGGGAGGGGUAGAAUUCCACGUGUAGCGGUGAAAUGCGUAGAGAUGUGGAGGAAUACCGAAGGCGAAGGCAGCCCCUUGGGAAUGUACUGACGCUCAUGUGCGAAAGCGUGGGGAGCAAACAGGAUUAGAUACCCUGGUAGUCCACGCUGUAAACGCUGUCGAUUUGGGGAUUGGGCCUUGAGCUUGGUGCCCGAAGCUAACGUGAUAAAUCGACCGCCUGGGGAGUACGGCCGCAAGGUUAAAACUCAAAUGAAUUGACGGGGGCCCGCACAAGCGGUGGAGCAUGUGGUUUAAUUCGAUGCAACGCGAAGAACCUUACCUACUCUUGACAUCCAUGGGAUCUUGUAGAGAUAUGAGAGUGCCUUCGGGAACCAUGAGACAGGUGCUGCAUGGCUGUCGU